RNAcentral lists this unclassified non-coding RNA (351 nucleotides) under Hevea brasiliensis (rubber tree). Lineage: Eukaryota; Viridiplantae; Streptophyta; Magnoliopsida; Malpighiales; Euphorbiaceae. The record is from RNAcentral.
AGAAAAACAACAACAGCAGUUGGUUCUUGAGCGUAUGCUGCAGCAUCAGAUGUCUGAUCUUGGUUAUAGACGGUCAAAAGUGGAUCCUCUGAUGGAGAACUUGCUUGAUCAAGUUCAGUUCAGAAUGCAGCUGCCAGAACUGCAACAGAGUUCUCAUCCUUCUAGACACCUUGAUCCAUCACUGGAGCAAAUAAUCCGAGCUAAGGUUGGAUUGAAUUCUCUUCAAGAACCACAGGCUGAUUUCUUAGACCUAUUACAGGAAAAACAUGGAAAUGUACUCCCUUCCAACCAGUUUCAUUUUCAGGAAGAACGGUUGCAGGCACAACAAUUAUCUUUGGCACUGAAACAGCA